UCCAGACUCCUACGGGAGGCAGCAGUGAGGAAUAUUGGUCAAUGGUCGGGAGACUGAACCAGCCAAGCCGCGUGAGGGAGGAAGGUACAGAGUAUCGUAAACCUCUUUUGUCAGGGAACAAAGACUGGGACGCGUCCCCGGAUGAGUGUACCUGAAGAAAAAGCAUCGGCUAACUCCGUGCCAGCAGCCGCGGUAAUACGGAGGAUGCGAGCGUUAUCCGGAUUUAUUGGGUUUAGAGGGUGCGCAGGCGGUCUGUUAAGUCAGCGGUCAAAUGUCGGGGCUCACCCCCGGCCUGCCGUUGAAACUGGCGGCCUCGAGUGGGCGAGAAGUAUGCGGAAUGCGCGGUGUAGCGGUGAAAUGCAUAGAUAUCGCGCAGAACUCCGAUUGCGAAGGCAGCAUGCCGGCUCCACACUGACGCUGAGGCACGAAAGCGUGGGUAUCGAACAGGAUUAGAUACCCGUGUA
This 464-nucleotide ribosomal RNA is filed under the name uncultured bacterium. Its description in RNAcentral is "bacterial SSU rRNA". It matches the Rfam family "Bacterial small subunit ribosomal RNA", at positions 330 to 792 of the family's 1533-position model. The record is from RNAcentral.